AUUGAACGCUGGCGGCAUGCUUUACACAUGCAAGUCGAACGGUAACAGGCCUUCGGGUGCUGACGAGUGGCGAACGGGUGAGUAAUGCAUCGGAACGUGCCCAGAGGCGGGGGAUAACGCAGCGAAAGCUGUGCUAAUACCGCAUGUGAUCUGAGGAUGAAAGCGGGGGACCAGGCAGCAAUGUUUGGCCUCGCGCCUUUGGAGCGGCCGAUGUCAGAUUAGGUAGUUGGUGGGGUAAAGGCCUACCAAGCCGACGAUCUGUAGCUGGUCUGAGAGGACGACCAGCCACACUGGGACUGAGACACGGCCCAGACUCCUACGGGAGGCAGCAGUGGGGAAUUUUGGACAAUGGGCGCAAGCCUGAUCCAGCAAUGCCGCGUGCGGGAAGAAGGCCUUCGGGUUGUAAACCGCUUUUGUACGGAACGAAAAGGCUCUGGCUAAUACCUGGGGCUGAUGACGGUACCGGAAGAAUAAGCACCGGCUAACUACGUG
This 492-nucleotide ribosomal RNA is filed under the name uncultured bacterium. RNAcentral's name for it is "partial 16S ribosomal RNA". It matches the Rfam family "Bacterial small subunit ribosomal RNA", at positions 29 to 507 of the family's 1533-position model. The record is from RNAcentral.